CUACGGGUUGCUCCAGUGGGGAAUAUUGGACAAUGGGGGAAACCCUGAUCCAGCAAUGCCGCGUGUGUGAAGAAGGCCUGCGGGUUGUAAAGCACUUUCGGUUGGGAGGACUGCUUCUAGCACUAAUAUUGUUGGAAGUUGACGUUACCUUCAGAAGAAGCACCGGCUAACUCCGUGCCAGCAGCCGCGGUAAUACGGAGGGGUGCAUGCGUUAAUCGGAAUUACUGGGCGUAAAGCGCGCGUAGGCGGCUAGAUCAGUCGGGUGUGAAAGCCCCGGGCUUAACCUGGGAACUGCAUCCGAUACUGUCUAGCUUGAGUACAGGAGAGGAGAGUGGAAUUCCACAUGUAGCGGUGAAAUGCGUAGAUAUGUGGAGGAACACCAAUGGCGAAGGCAGCUCUCUGGCCUGAUACUGACGCUGAGGUGCGAAAGCGUGGGGGGCAAACAGGAUUAGAUACCCUUGUAGUC
RNAcentral lists this ribosomal RNA (466 nucleotides) under uncultured bacterium. Its description in RNAcentral is "partial 16S ribosomal RNA". It matches the Rfam family "Bacterial small subunit ribosomal RNA", at positions 339 to 795 of the family's 1533-position model. The record is from RNAcentral.